RNAcentral lists this ribosomal RNA (791 nucleotides) under Termitomyces sp. 'cryptogamus'. Its description in RNAcentral is "Termitomyces cryptogamus partial large subunit ribosomal RNA". It matches the Rfam family "Eukaryotic large subunit ribosomal RNA", at positions 87 to 889 of the family's 3401-position model. The record is from RNAcentral. Lineage: Eukaryota; Fungi; Basidiomycota; Agaricomycetes; Agaricales; Lyophyllaceae.
CUGCGAGUGAAGCGGGAAAAGCUCAAAUUUAAAAUCUGGUAGUCUUUGGCUGCCCGAGUUGUAAUCUAGAGAAGCAUUAUCCGCGUUGGACCGUGUACAAGUGUCCUGGAAUGGACCAUCAUAGAGGGUGAGAAUCCCGUCUUUGACACGGACUCCCAAGGCUUUGUGAUGUGCUCUCAAAGAGUCGAGUUGUUUGGGAAUGCAGCUCUAAAUGGGUGGUAAAUUCCAUCUAAAGCUAAAUAUUGGCGAGAGACCGAUAGCGAACAAGUACCGUGAGGGAAAGAUGAAAAGAACUUUGGAAAGAGAGUUAAACAGUACGUGAAAUUGCUGAAAGGGAAACGCUUGAAGUCAGUCGCGUUGGCUGGGGAUCAACCUUGCUUUUUUGCUUGGCUUACUUCCCAGUUGACGGGUCAGCAUCAGUUUUGACCGGUGGAUAAAGGUUAAGGGAAUGUGGCACCCUCGGGUGUGUUAUAGCCCUUGGUCAUAUACAUUGGUUGGGACUGAGGAACUCAGUACUUGUGCUUAGGAUGCUGGCAUAAUGGCUUUAAGCGACCCGUCUUGAAACACGGACCAAGGAGUCUAACAUGCCCGCGAGUGUUUGGGUGGAAAACCCGAGCGCGUAAUGAAAGUGAAAGUUGAGAUCCCUGUCGUGGGGAGCAUCGACGCCCGGACCAGACCUUUUGUGACGGAUCCGCGGUAGAGCGUGUAUGUUGGGACCCGAAAGAUGGUGAACUAUGCCUGAAUAGGGUGAAGCCAGAGGAAACUCUGGUGGAGGCUCGUAGCGAUUCUGA